GUACUAACAAAUCGCAGAAUCACGAUUUGAAAGAGAUUUGAUUACGAUUUGAAAGCAAUUUGUUCAUUUAUUUUUCUGUUUGGGUUAGCAACUCAAUGUAACCGCUGUUUCGAAGUUUACCCGGAUUUCAUGAAAUGGAAAGGUUCCAUUUGAACUCCUUUUAAAAUAAUGUUUCAAAUUUGUACAUCUUUUAUUUUAAGUGGUAUCAGGGGAAAAUAAAAUUUUGCUUUACGGGAUUUAUAAAUAUUGAUAUGAAAUAUGUACGACAUUAAGUAGAAUUACAUUUUAUAGAUCAGAUAUCUGUUUUUAUAUUUUAUUACAUUUUAUUUUCUACUUAUCGUAUCAUGUCAUCUAAC
RNAcentral lists this long non-coding RNA (356 nucleotides) under Mytilus galloprovincialis (Mediterranean mussel). The record is from RNAcentral. Lineage: Eukaryota; Metazoa; Mollusca; Bivalvia; Mytilida; Mytilidae.